RNAcentral lists this unclassified non-coding RNA (351 nucleotides) under Hevea brasiliensis (rubber tree). The record is from RNAcentral. Lineage: Eukaryota; Viridiplantae; Streptophyta; Magnoliopsida; Malpighiales; Euphorbiaceae.
UUCCAUAUCAUCCUAUUGUCAUAUAUGGUACAUUCCUACCCCAUUUUCCUCAUACAAAAGACAGGAAAACCAUCUCUCUUCUAAGUGGCUUUUACAAAAUGGAAGGUCAAGGCGGUAGAGGUAUUAAUGAACAGGCAUGCUUUCCAGGGAGAGAUUGGCUGUGCCAAAAUUCCGAUGUUUACCAUCAGCCACAUUAGUUAGUUGGAAGCCUUUAUUAGGGAGCUGGUUGAUGAGAAGGGUUUCCAGUUGGCAAGCAAUGCUUUUUCCUUGAACUAUAAAAUAAAGGAAGGAGACAUGAUGCAUCCCCUCCUUUGAUCGAUGCGCACGGACUCGGCCUUCAAGAUCAUCCGU